AAACAUGUCUUUUUGAGUUUAAUAUAAAGUCUAACCUGCCCACUGAAAAUUUAAAUGGCCGCAGUAUCCUAACUGUGCAAAGGUAGCAUAAUCAUUAGUCUUUUAAUUGAAGGCUCGUAUGAAUGGUUGGACGAGACACUAACUGUUUCAAUUUAAUUUAAGAUAGAAUUUUAUUUUUUAGUCAAAAAGCUAAAAUAUUUUUAAAAGACGAGAAGACCCUAUAAAUCUUUAUUUUUUUUUCUGUUUUUACUAUAAAGAAUCAUUAAGUAAUAAUUUUAAAAAAAAAUUUUAUUGGGGUGAUAUUAAAAUUUAAUAAACUUUUAAUUUUUUAGAUUCAUUAAUUUAUGAGUAAUUGAUCCGUUUUUAGCGAUUAAAAAUUUAAGUUACUUUAGGGAUAACAGCGUAAUUUUUUUGGAGAGUUCAUAUCGAUAAAAAAGAUUGCGACCUCGAUGUUGGAUUAAGAUACAAGUUUGGGCGCAGCCGUUCAAAUUUUAAGUCUGUUCGACUUUUUGAAUCUUACAUGAUCU
Molecule: ribosomal RNA, 527 nt
Filed under: Malacomyia sciomyzina
Lineage: Eukaryota; Metazoa; Arthropoda; Insecta; Diptera; Coelopidae
Description: partial 16S ribosomal RNA
Rfam family: Bacterial large subunit ribosomal RNA
Source: RNAcentral